GACAUCCCUAGGUAAAGGAAGAAAAAGAGAAACAUCAGGAUAUCUGUCCACUGGCUGGAUCAGGUUAUUUUUCAGAUUCUCACAGUAAUUUAGGAGUUUCCUACAGUUCUACGGCAAAAAUAAAAUCCAGAGGAGGUCGGGAUUUCAUACUGCCUUGCUAGGAUCUGAUACCAUUCAAAUCCAAGUAGGAUAUGAAUUCUGCCUGUGAUUUUCCCUGUGUUUUAAAGUUUGUCUUUAAUGGCUCAUAGUGCAGAAUAUGGGUGGUAAAGAAGUAGCAGGACUUUUAACAUUACACCUUUAAAGCCAACCAGAUACAAAUGCAUGCGCAAAACCAAAGUUUUAAAAAGUCUUUAAAUAAAUCACAUCUUCCAUUGGAAGAGAGCUAUUUUCCUUUAGACCUUUACAGACUCCUUUUAACCUGUUGGGAUACUUCAGUAGAAAGGAUUGUAAUUACUAAAACAACGUUCUUCAUAAACUGAAAUGAAAAUCUUCCGUUCCAUCCUGAAAUUCUUAGAAAACUCAGAAUUAUGUUUGCCGCAUUCGGUUUCUGUGGUGCUGAGUCCAGCUCAGCAGAUGCCUUGCGCCGUUGGGGCAGGUGCUUCCUUCCGAACUGCCGGGGGAAUGUCAGCUGGUCUUGCCGCUGCUUCGCACUCGUUUUUUGCUCUGUCCCAAAACCUCUCCUACCAACACUUGAAGUCAAGAUGUUUUCUCAGAAUUAAGAGUCUGUAAAGAAGUAAACCUGUAAAAAAAGGUUCUAGUGUAGGAACGUUGUUUGAGUGCUUUCAUCAUGAACACCCUAAUAAUAAAUAAUUCUGCUUUUUUCUAUGCAUUAUUUUCUGAGUGCUGUUCUUAUUCCUCUUAGAAGUCUCACCCACCGGCUGGUUUCUUGCACCUGAAAGAUUACUGCUAAUUUUAUGCUUUAAACAAACUCCUUCUAAAACACUUGGGUUUGCUCUGCCUUUUUUUUUUUUUUUCUUCUUUCUUUUGAUUUGCUUGUAUUUUUAAAUUGAGUUAGAAAUUGUUUCCCCUUUCUGUAGGAGGGUUUUUUUACUUCUAAUAGCUUCCUUGCUAUCGUACAUAUUUGAAUAUGUCACAAGUAGUUGACUUAAACCACAUAAACUUCUUUUUUGUUCUUCUGGAGUCCUUUUUGAUAGGUAGUGUGUGUUUCUACCAAGCCCCUGAAUUGGCUCUUAGAAGAGACUGAAUGUUGCCUGCUAUCACUUUAUCCUUUGAAGAGUCACAGAAUGGUUGAGCUUCCAGAUCAUCCAGUUUGACCUCACUGCUCUGCAUAGUGUCACCCGGAGCAGGUUGCUCCGAGCUGUGUCCUGUUGACUUCCCGGUAUCUCCAAGGUUGGAGACUCCACAGCCUCUCUAGGCAACAUGUUCCAACAGUCGACCACCCUCACAGUACAGAAGUUUUUUCUUUUGUUGAAUUGGACUUUCCUGUAUUUCAGUUUGUGCCUUUUGCCUCUUCUCCUGUCACUGGACACCUGAGGAGACCCUGGCUCCAUCUUCCCAGUUCCCUGUCCCCAUCCCUGCCCAUCAAGUAUUUAUACACGUUGCGAAGGUUCCUUUGACUCUUCUCCAGACUAAAAUUUCCAACUCUCUCAGCCGAUUCUGCUAUGACAGGUGCUCCAGUCCCUUAAUCAGUGGCCUUCUCCUUUUUUUUUUUUUCCCCACCAGUUUCCUCAUUGUAUAGAGCUCUCCUUCUGAAGCAAAACAUCUUGGUAAACUAGAUCUUGGACUAGAUCUUACCAAGACAAGGCUGGCCUUUCAGCAACCCCCAUGGGUCUCCAUCAAGUCCUCAUGGUGGUGGCAGCUACCUGCAGGAAGGGAAGAUGGUUAAAUGCUGUGUGAAAGGCUUUGUGGAAGGGCAGUGACACCUCGCAAAUUGUUGGGAGUUCUUUGAAGGUGUUCUGGCACAAACAUGUGGAGAAAGAUGAUCCUGUUUGUAGAAUGAAUUGGGAUUUCUGAAGAGCCUUGACAAAACGAGAUAUCAAGGGCUGUUGAGGUAGUUAAUCCGUUAUGUGACGAGGAGGAUGGCUUUUCUGGAUUAAUGAAAAAAACAUAAAAGAGUGGGGGAAAAGCCUGGGGAGAGGUGAUAAGUUUCAUGCUAGAGGAGGACUGGAAAAUGAACCGGUAUCUGAACAUACCCCACCGUGGCGGCAGAGGCUAGGCUAGCACUGCUACUACUGAAAUACUCAGGGUAAGAGAAUGACAGUAGCUGCAACAAAGUGUGUCUCUGACACAAAAUAAUAUACGAGGUAGUGAAAGCUAACGCUGAUUGUCUAAAGAAGCAGAAUGAUCCUGCAAUUCUAAGUGACUGCGCGGUAAAAUAAGUGACGUGAUUCAAUACGGGUGAUUGUAAAGCGUAUUUAGGAAUAAGGCGUCUUAACUGUAUGUGGAUGACAGUGGGGUUUAAUUUACUUGGCACGCUGGGAAGAUCUUGGAGUCAUCUCUGCAAAUGUCAGGUCAGUGCUACUUAAUAAUGUUGAGGGGAAAUAGAAUGGUAAGAUUUUUUAGGAAAGAAAUGGAAAAGAGAACAGAAAAACUUCGCUUUGUCAAUCUAAUAUGACUGCGUCUGAAAUGGUCUAUGCAGUUCUAUAAAUCCUCUAUGCAGUUUAUAAUAAGAGCACAGAAAGCUGCAGCAAGGAUGAUUACAAGUAUCAGGUUGUUCAUAUAUAAAGUGAUAAGGAGUAGAUAAGGAUUUCUCUCUUGGGAAAGCCUAGGACUGGAAGCAGCGGUACACUACCGGUGCCGUGCAUGUCGUAAAGCAGGUGACGGGGAAUGAUUAUUCUUAUGAGAGGGGGUUUGGGGCACGUAAGAAUGUGAGGCAAGAGACUUAAAAAUGAGAAAAGGUGUGUUUAGGAUUUGUGCAUCAGUGCUGGUCCCCGGGGUGCUGCGGUGCCUGUUGAGCAGGGUGACACAGCGCCAGGGGCUGCUCUGCCCCUCCCCCCUCCCCACCGGCGAGCAGGCUGGGGGGCACCAGGAGCUGGGAGGGGGCACAGCCGGGACAGCCGCCCCCGCUGAGCCCAGGGGUGUCCCACACUAUGACACUGCGCUCAGCAAUAAAAGCUGGAUGGAAGUUUGCAGGAGCUCCUGUUGCUCAGGGGCUGGCUGGGCAUCACUCGGUUGAAGGUAAACAAUUUUUUUCUUGCAUCACUUGUUCUUCUUGGGUUUGUUUUGUGUCCCUCCCUGCCCCCCCACCUUGUUGUUUUUAUUUUCUGUCCUUUUUUCAUUAUUGAACUGUCUUCAUCUCCACCCAUGAGUUUUCUCCCUUUCAGCCUUCCAGUUCUCUCCCCCAUCCCACUGGGCACGAGGUGAGCAAGCAGCUGCGUGGAGCUGAGCUGCAGCCAGGGUUAAACCACGACACCUUCCUAAGAUCUUUAGCUCAGGACUAGCAAAUCAAAGGAUCAUGGUGUGAAAUACUCCGACUUUUUUAAUCACUACAGACUUUCUGUUGUUUCCCUGCCAUUUUAUGCCUUCUGCCUUUGAGAAGCAGUAUCUGUCUUUGUAGUGCCGCUAUAGUACCACAUCCCUCUUUAAAUAUAAAUGCUGGCAGGACGGUUGUUAGCCACGGAGGUGUCCCAUUCUAAUGGGAGGUGGAUAACUGCUUGUUUAGACUGCAGGUGUAUAACACAUCCUGAGACUGAGAAUCAAUAGCAGCAGGGCUAGCACGGUAAUUAUAGAAGAUUAGAAAAAUUUCAAGUUAUUUGACAAAAUCAAGACAUACCUGACUUAAAAAUGGAGUGAGAAGGAAAUUCUUUACAGUUACGUAUGCGCACCCUCGGAAUUAAACAGUAGCCCCUGAAACAAGAGGUUACACGUAGCUCAAACACCUCAGAGCUACCCCUUGCAGGGUGAGCUCGCUGGCAACGUUAGUAGAGCAAAUUAGUAGGCAAAAAAAAUAUGAUACCCCACAGCCCUUUGCAGUGUGUCAUUACUUGACCUGUGUAGCAUAACAACACUGCUGCUUUGAAUACCCACUGUAACUCUAAGAGUCAAAAUCUGUGCUGCUGCCUGCUCUCACCUCCCUUAGACUUAAAAUCCAAGUCUUCUGUCUUCUGCCAUCCCUAGGAAGGAGCUUUUCAACCCAUCGCGCCACCUGUAGCCUUCAGAGGGAAGAUGUGCAGUGAGCCCUACGAGACCCCAGGCGUAACAGGAGGCUGCACCGUGUUUUGGGGCCAUGCAUUUAUUGUGACAAAGUAGUAUCAUCAUGGAAACACGGUGCCCAGCCGGUGAAGGGAAAACCUGAUACUCCCCAGAACUGGUCUCAGACCCUGCUCCCAAGAACUCUGCUAAUAACUCCAGUGGACCUUAUGGAGGAGCAAUGUGACCCUGAGAGGUGGGUCCUCAGCCAGAUCUUCCUUUUCACCCCACCAGACAAAGUCAUUUAGCUGCCUGAAGCAGAAGACAGGCUGCUGUUCACACCCAGGCUCUGAAAUGCAUCUGACUUGGGAUGCAGGGGGACAGAGAGGACCAGGGACUUGCCGGUGACCUCGCCAUCAAAGGUCUGCUGCAGCUUUGCACGGCAGGGACACAACUCUUCUUCGCAUCAACUAGCUGCUAGGAUUCCUUCUGUGAACACUACACCGGUUUCCUGAUAGAAGUUGGCUGUUUCCCAGGAGAGCAGAAAGUAAAACUGAUUCUUACAUGGAGUGAGCGUCUGGUUUUGCAGUGGAGGAGGGGAUCCCGCUUUCAGCACUUCACCCCACCAUUGGUCCUAUGCGCUACAUGAUGUGCUACAUGAUUCGAGUGAGGGAGGAUGAUUCUUCUUGAAGGUCUUAAACUUCUUAAAGUUUUUUGUUUCAUUCUGUAUUGCGAUUCCUAAUUUUAGUGAACAGUUCUUUCAAGGACUGUAAAAUCCAACUGGAAGGCGAAUUAAAUGAGAAAGAAGAUAAGAGCACCAGAAAUAACUUCAUUCUGUCUAAAGUUAUUCUUUCACCUCUGAUUCAGUUUCUUUUGUGUGUGUGCUACUAGAGUCCUUAGUUUGUGCUACAAUUGUAGAGUCGUAAGGCAGACUGCAGUACAAAAUUUUUCAGAAGAAAAACUGGUAGGAACAGGAUUUCUAAUGCAAGAUGCAAGCAUUUCUUAAAUUUAUUCCCUAAAGCACAGAUUUGUUGCUGAUACUCUUUUUGUAAACAUGCCAUUUCCUGCUCUGCUGCUAAUAACGGUUGGAAAUAAAGUGCAACCUGAACCAGUAUGAUUUCUAAAGUUUUCGGUACUUCAUUUUCUCCUUUCUACUUACAGUAGAGUUGGUCCACUGUACACUCCCAGAAAUGCAUCAUCGUUGAUAACUUCCAGGUACUUGUUCUUGUGCAGGUAGCUGCAGAAGCAAACAGAACACAGUGAUCUGGCAAUAGUUAUGCAUAGGCUAAAGAAGAUCUUCAGUUUACCUGCCUAAAUAGCUUCACAAAAGCAGUAUUGUAUAAGCGCCAUCCCAUCCCAACAACAUAUUGAACCAUAAUCCGUUACUUCAUUUUCUCUGUACCCAAGAAACAAAAUACAGGCUUACCAUUUUGAAAAUAAAUUAAAUUCCUGAACAAACAGAUUAGCAAAAUAAAUUAUCUUUGCUCCAUAUCCUUUUUCUCUCUCUGUCAUACACAUAGAGACACAUGCAUACACACUGUAUCUGCAGGUAAAUAUGUGUGAGGAUGAGGUGAAAUAGAUUGGUUGGGCUUCAUCAGACUUAGGUUAUGGGGAUUUACAUGAUACUUCCAGGAACACAUCAUGAACAAACGUGAAAAUAAUUCCCUCCUUGUUCUGAGCUUGAUAAAUUUUGAAUGCUUUAAAAUCUCCAUAGCCAAGUGGAGGCUCCCAUGUACAUGUCAACAGUUAAGAAUGAGGUUUUGUUCUAAGAAGAGCAAGAGAGGGAGAAGGAUGAUAAAUCUGAAGGAAAAAAUAACAUAAAACUUAAUGUAAAAAAAAAAUUAAGAAUCUAAAGUCUUGUGAAAACAGUUUCCUGAGUAGCCAACACUUUCCUGAAAUACAGAAUGCUGCAAAUUUCUCCUGUCAUUACAUGAUCGAUGUAAGCAAGGACCAAUAUUAAUUCCCAUCACUCUGCAAACUGACUAAGAAAGUGGGGAUUCAGGAAGCCGGGAAUGUACAGAGUUGAGUUAAAGGUGCAUGAUUAAAGCCAGGCAAAGCGAGACUACUACUGAGUGCUCAAAAAAUGAACAUAACCCAAGUGGAACAAUCAAUGUUAAAUUCAGUUCUGUGUUUUUAGAGUUAAAAGUGACUGACCUAGAAUUAAUCUUGAUUUUUUAAAAUUAUUAUUAUCAUUAUAUUUUAGCUGGAUUCCUGUUUACCGUGGUCCAAAACUGUCAUUUGGGAAACUUAUAAAUACACGGAUUAUUAUUGCAGGAUGAGAAAGGACCUCAGAGAGAAGUUUGAACCACAGCAGCAAAGGGGAUGGUACAGCUGCAGGACUGAGCUUCGGGCCAGAAAUGCAGCAUAACCCGUUAAGGAGGGAACACGGAAAAUUGCCAAGGAAAGUUGUCGAGGGGAACGUAUGAUCCCAUUGAUGAGAUGAUGGCAGAGUGAUCAACACUGUAAAGGCCCUGAAGGACCAUGGUGCCUAGGCAGAAGAGACUCAUAGCACCUGUGACUAUCCUAUUUAUAAAUUUUAUCCAUUUUCUAUACAGUAGAAAAGGUAAAGUCUAAUGGCUCCAGUAGCAAAACACAGAUAAAAGCAUGAGGCUGCUGUCCAGGAGCAUCAAAAGGGUCCACAGCCUGCAACAUCACCGGUAGCUCAGGGCCAGCAGAAGCAGGAACAAGAGCUUGUAGCGACAUAGGUAUGACCACAGUGGGUGACCCAGACCCAACAACUGCAAGUGUCAGGAUUGCUGGACAUUUCACCAACAAGGGCACAUGGCUGGUGGAGGUCUUGUCAUGCAAGAACGAAGAAAAAGAAGAUGAUUGCAGAUGAUGACCAUAAAGCAUUGCUCAAGAGAAGACGACGUGGUCCUCGGUCCAGCUAAAGGACGGAAACUUUGCAAGGGCCGCAGACUGCCUUAGGGAGGUCAUGUUUCACAGGACAGAUGAAGGCAGAGAAAAUUCCAAAUGACGAGAUCAGCAGCAAAAGUGAGAAAUAGAAGACCAACAAUAUUGCCCAAGUGAAGCCAGGUGACGUUGCUCAGAAUUUCAACAAAAUUAUCUUAAAAAUAGAAACUUCAUGACAUUUCAGUUGGCACAGAAAUGAUAAGAUGCCCAGAUCAGACUUAUGAAAGAAAUUAAAUGAAAUGAAAGGAGAAAGAAUCUGAUACUACUAAUGCAGGCAGUAAUACCUCAAGCAGAGGGGGAUGUUUGGUACUAUAACUAUUACAAAUAUGUUAAAGCCAGCUUGUGAUGUAGUUACGAAGGCAAAAAAAAAUACAACAGCAAGGUUGUCACCACACAUUUCAGAGGGUGUCCGUGCAAUUGCUGUGAGCUGUGCCCAUCAUGCCAGUUGGUGGCAAAAAUGCAAAGGUCAAACCUUUGCCAGUUUUAAGUUCUGGAAGAAAACCACCAUUUGAGAUGGUGGCUGUGGAGAUAAUGGAAUUGAUCCAGAAAAGUGCAGAAGGCCGCUAUUUUAUCUCUGGGCUGGAAGAGUCUUUCAAAUUCAGAUAGCUGAACUGGGGUUAGCUGUAAAAAUAAUAAAGCCGGAGCAGUUAUUUCUUGCUGUGGGGGGAAAAAAAAUAACAAGUAAAGAUUCUAAUCCUGCCCCAGUUGAAGUCAUUGGCAAAUUUCCCAUAACAUUCACUGGAUAUAAGCUUAUAUUGAUCACCAUAGUGAGAAAUGAAAAGUAAAUGCACUUUGGCUGGGUUACACAACACAAAGUCUUAGGGAGCCGGGCCAGGGUGACACUUCUGGACUGUUAUUCAUUGGACAUCACCCAUGCCCAAAGCCUUGUUUCUUACUGAGGAAAAUAGCUUAAUGCAUCCUCUCAGCUCUUGUUAUUUGAAAUAACCUCUCUUUCUUUAGAAAUAUAUGGCAUCCUAAUAUCACCUGACAUUUGUGUUUUCUGAGAACUGACUUUCACACUCUGUAAAUGACAACCUAGUCGCUUCUGUUGUGAGCUUUUGCUUCAGUUUGCAAAUUUCCUUGUGAUUUUGUCUGCAAAACUAAUACAAAAAUUAAAACCAGAGCAAGAGAUAAGAAUUAAUUCCAGAUUUCAACACCUAGGCUGUAGUUUUGAAGGACAGAAACACCUGCCUGACCUAAUAAAACCUGUCUGCUUUAGUAACUAGACAUUGUUAUACAACCAGGUAGUCGCUUGUCCAAUUUUAAAAUAUUUUCCCCUGAUAUUUGAGCACUAUAGUGAGUGAUAAAACUGAAAUAUAAUAGUUUACAUAUGCAAUAAAAAUCUUCUAACUUCUGAGUAGAAACAGCCAGCUAGAGGCUUUUGGGAAGUUAAUAACAAUGCGUUACCAAGGAGGGGCUGCAGGGGUGGCUGCCAGUUUUCACAUAGAUGAGUCAGGCCCAUCAGAAUGCACAAUUUCCUGAUGCUAAUUGAUUUCAGUUGUUUAAGCCCUUUUAUUUUGAUAGGUACCUCUUUUAAAUGGAAAGAAGACUUCAGUAAAUAAAAAUUUGAAAAAUCUUAUGUACGGCCAAUAUAGCUCCUUCUGAGAGUGUCCUUAAUCCUGUUGCUGCUGAUAGUGGAAUGACAGAGGAUGUCAUUUAAAUGCACUGCAGUAAAGAAAAGCACAACACGUGUUGGAAGUCUUAGAAAUCCCACGGGUGAAGUGGAAUAUCUAUCCCCAGUGGGGACACUAGAAUACUAGUAAUUUUGUAAAGCUGGUGGAAGGUAGGCAUGAAUACCACCGUGCAAAGUAUGCGGGGAAUCUGGGAUAUUAAAUGCUGGAUCAGGAGUAGGAUACACUGAUGGUUUCAUAGUGCUAGAAGUAAAAGGCGGCUUGCUUUUUUUGGCUUGCCUUCCCCCCCCCCCCCCCAUCAAAUCAGAUCAGCGAUCUUAACUAUGCCAGUGACUAAAACAGAAUCUAUGGACUCAAGACUGGGGGGUAAGUGGGAAAAAUACUGCACUAAGUCACACCCCAGCAGAAAACAACCUGACUGCAGUCUGCUGAGCAGGAUCUUCUGAGGUCACAGAACAGCAACAGGGCCCUUCAGCUGCUGUGUAACACCAGACAGUGUCAUGUCAGGGCAUGGCAGAGAGCGAGUAUUCAGACGUUAUCAGCGCAUGCUUCAUAAAGCAACAGAUUAGAGAAUCUGCAUGAGGAAAAGCAACUUUUGAUCUGAGCUUGUGGCACACGUUUUAAAAUGUGACGGUCUAAAGUCUGUUUAAAAGAGCAACCACCAGCUACUGAUAUUCAGCAACUCUGUAGGACCAAAUAAGCCAAAGGGUACACUACAGCUAUAGUCUCCAAAUACAUAUAGAUGAGAAAACUUCCUUAAAAAUAAACAAAAGUAUCAAAGCUAAAUUAUUGAGAGCAUUCUGGGAGCUCUUUAGGGACACCAUUUUGGAGAUGCAGAGCAAACGUGAAAAGCAUGUGAUGGCAAAAGAAGAACAAAAUCCUGAAUACUUAAAAUAUUCAAAAUCUUCAACUGAGAUGAAAAACUGAAAGAUGCUAAAAGGCCUGAAGAUAUUUUUACCAAAAGUAUAUUUUCUUCUGGGGGUAAAGAAUACGAAUGAAAACUGCUGACCAGCUACUUCAGCUAACAAACACAUAGUUUCACAUACCUUUCUUUUUUCAGUGUAAAAGUUCUGUAUUUCUCUUCUUCCGUAGCCCACGGUCACUCGUGCCAUCCCCCAUACUGUAGCUGGAUACACCUUUCUCGGUGUUUUUUUUAAACUGGAUUAUUUCACUGAUCAGGUUUUACUGCAGUCCCACAACCAAUUUUAUCAGCACAGGGAGCGAUGGACUGAGAAUGAACAGCCAGAUGAGGGCAAACGGGAGGUUUGGCAAAAUUUUCUUCCAAAGGAUCGCUUAGUGAAAACCCAAGUUAGUUACGUUACUGAAGCUCCUGGUUGGAAUACCUCACUGGCUUAUGGAAUCACGUACUAUUUCAUAGUAUCUGCUUGCUUGCUUUCAGCUUCUGAUUUUAAAAUAAGGCAGCAGAGCUUAACAAGCAAGGAGAAAAAUAAUGUUGGCCACACAUUUCAGUAUCACCGCUAUAGUGUUAAACGGGCGCUGGACAUGUACUGUUAAUAUAUCUAUGCAUCCUGUUGGAUUAGGAAAUGAAGGUUAUAGAAAGGGAUAACAGCCAAAAGAGAUGCAGUGGUAAAUGAGCAGUAUUAAGGAUUCAUCAUAUGGCUUUUCUACACCACUGUUUAUCUUGACUGAGCUAAGCCAAGCAUUAUAAGUGAUCCCUGAGAGCGUAUACCAAAGUAAAUAUAUUCUUGUGGAGUUUAUUUUUGAAAUUAGAUUUUGAGAUUGCACACUUGCCAUUUCAGUGAUUUAGACAGCUCUGUAAAAGCUCAGCACAAAUAUAUUUUGCCAUUCACUGGAAUAUGUUUUUUGAAAAAAAUCUUCUUCCCUCACCAGUUUCCUUACAGAAAUAAACAUUGGUGCAGGAGCACCAUUUUGAGAAGUCUGCAGGAGUGAUGCAGUUCAUGGACCUUAGUCAUGUGUUAUAACGAGGGAUUCAAGUUUUAGAUGAAUGCUGUUCAGUAAAAGCAUCAUUCGGCCCUUCAUUCCUGGUUCUUUACUUCCCUGCCUUUACAAAACACGUCCAGCGAUACCGUGGUUUGCUAUUAAACCCAGAUCCUUGUUGGAUGAGAAGAUUUAUUAGGUAGUGCCAUUAUUCAGUAUGAUAAUGGAAACCAUUUGUGCAUGGUUCCACACCUGUAUCUGCAUUGACUGUUUUCACCUCCUUGAAUUACACCGGGUUUUUUAACACUGCAGAGUGGUAGAAAAGCACACUGCAUGGUGGAACGUGGCCUCCGAGAUUCCCAAAGCAUCUUCUGAUUUAUGGAUGGAAGAUGGAGUCUUUGGAUGAUUUGUCGAAAACUAAUUACUAUUUUUGGUUGUUUUCCUUUUUUUUUACUUGUUUUCCUCCUUGAGGGCACCAUUCAAAGUCCAUUAAAAUGUCUUUCCUUCACUCUUUUGCUCUUAGUUUCUUUUUGCUCCUAGUUUCAUCAAGUCCAAAGGACCUUGGAUCAGACCUGGAGGAAAACAGGUCCUUCCUUCACUGUACAGUGGUAGAUAAAUUGGAAUUCAAAUUAGAAAUGUCAGAAUACAGAAAACGCAGUAUUUGCCUUCUGCAUUAACGUAAUACUGCUGCUAGA
Falco peregrinus (peregrine falcon) is the source of this 11227-nucleotide long non-coding RNA. RefSeq lists it as uncharacterized. Lineage: Eukaryota; Metazoa; Chordata; Aves; Falconiformes; Falconidae. The transcript has 4 exons. The record is from RefSeq and is a predicted model, not a curated record.